UUCCAUGAUGAGCACCUUUCAAAGCAUAGUUCACCUGACGGUCUUCGGACCAUUGAACGACAAACCAAAACCAUCUUUCGCCUUAUUAUCUGACA
This 95-nucleotide small nucleolar RNA is filed under the name Rasamsonia emersonii CBS 393.64. Its description in RNAcentral is "A. fumigatus snoRNA Afu_263". It matches the Rfam family "A. fumigatus snoRNA Afu_263". Lineage: Eukaryota; Fungi; Ascomycota; Eurotiomycetes; Eurotiales; Trichocomaceae. The record is from Rfam by way of RNAcentral.